Molecule: ribosomal RNA, 303 nt
Filed under: uncultured marine bacterium pC8-67
Lineage: Bacteria; Pseudomonadati; Pseudomonadota; Alphaproteobacteria
Description: bacterial SSU rRNA
Rfam family: Bacterial small subunit ribosomal RNA
Source: RNAcentral
GGAGGGGGUUAGCGUUGUUCGGAAUUACUGGGCGUAAAGCGCACGUAGGCGGAUUAGUAAGUUAGAGGUGAAAUCCCGAGGCUCAAGGGUGGAACUGCCUUUAAUACUGCUAGUCUUGAGUUCGUGUGUGGUAAGUGGAAUUCCGAGUGUAGAGGUGAAAUUCGUAGAUAUUCGGAGGAACACCAGUGGCGAAGGCGGCUUACUGGAUAGAUACUGACGCUGAGGUGCGAAAGUGUGGGGAGCAAACAGGAUUAGAUACCCUGGUAGUCCACACCGUAAACGAUGAAUGCCAGACGUCAGGCA